Molecule: ribosomal RNA, 2893 nt
Filed under: Escherichia coli
Lineage: Bacteria; Pseudomonadati; Pseudomonadota; Gammaproteobacteria; Enterobacterales; Enterobacteriaceae
Description: bacterial LSU rRNA
Rfam family: Bacterial large subunit ribosomal RNA
Source: RNAcentral
ACUAAGCGUACACGGUGGAUGCCCUGGCAGUCAGAGGCGAUGAAGGACGUGCUAAUCUGCGAUAAGCGUCGGUAAGGUGAUAUGAACCGUUAUAACCGGCGAUUUCCGAAUGGGGAAACCCAGUGUGAUUCGUCACACUAUCAUUAACUGAAUCCAUAGGUUAAUGAGGCGAACCGGGGGAACUGAAACAUCUAAGUACCCCGAGGAAAAGAAAUCAACCGAGAUUCCCCCAGUAGCGGCGAGCGAACGGGGAGCAGCCCAGAGCCUGAAUCAGUGUGUGUGUUAGUGGAAGCGUCUGGAAAGGCGUGCGAUACAGGGUGACAGCCCCGUACACAAAAAUGCACAUAUUGUGAGCUCGAUGAGUAGGGCGGGACACGUGGUAUCCUGUCUGAAUAUGGGGGGACCAUCCUCCAAGGCUAAAUACUCCUGACUGACCGAUAGUGAACCAGUACCGUGAGGGAAAGGCGAAAAGAACCCCGGCGAGGGGAGUGAAAAAGAACCUGAAACCGUGUACGUACAAGCAGUGGGAGCACGCUUAGGCGUGUGACUGCGUACCUUUUGUAUAAUGGGUCAGCGACUUAUAUUCUGUAGCAAGGUUAACCGAAUAGGGGAGCCGAAGGGAAACCGAGUCUUAACUGGGCGUUAAGUUGCAGGGUAUAGACCCGAAACCCGGUGAUCUAGCCAUGGGCAGGUUGAAGGUUGGGUAACACUAACUGGAGGACCGAACCGACUAAUGUUGAAAAAUUAGCGGAUGACUUGUGGCUGGGGGUGAAAGGCCAAUCAAACCGGGAGAUAGCUGGUUCUCCCCGAAAGCUAUUUAGGUAGCGCCUCGUGAAUUCAUCUCCGGGGGUAGAGCACUGUUUCGGCAAGGGGGUCAUCCCGACUUACCAACCCGAUGCAAACUGCGAAUACCGGAGAAUGUUAUCACGGGAGACACACGGCGGGUGCUAACGUCCGUCGUGAAGAGGGAAACAACCCAGACCGCCAGCUAAGGUCCCAAAGUCAUGGUUAAGUGGGAAACGAUGUGGGAAGGCCCAGACAGCCAGGAUGUUGGCUUAGAAGCAGCCAUCAUUUAAAGAAAGCGUAAUAGCUCACUGGUCGAGUCGGCCUGCGCGGAAGAUGUAACGGGGCUAAACCAUGCACCGAAGCUGCGGCAGCGACGCUUAUGCGUUGUUGGGUAGGGGAGCGUUCUGUAAGCCUGUGAAGGUGUACUGUGAGGUAUGCUGGAGGUAUCAGAAGUGCGAAUGCUGACAUAAGUAACGAUAAAGCGGGUGAAAAGCCCGCUCGCCGGAAGACCAAGGGUUCCUGUCCAACGUUAAUCGGGGCAGGGUGAGUCGACCCCUAAGGCGAGGCCGAAAGGCGUAGUCGAUGGGAAACAGGUUAAUAUUCCUGUACUUGGUGUUACUGCGAAGGGGGGACGGAGAAGGCUAUGUUGGCCGGGCGACGGUUGUCCCGGUUUAAGCGUGUAGGCUGGUUUUCCAGGCAAAUCCGGAAAAUCAAGGCUGAGGCGUGAUGACGAGGCACUACGGUGCUGAAGCAACAAAUGCCCUGCUUCCAGGAAAAGCCUCUAAGCAUCAGGUAACAUCAAAUCGUACCCCAAACCGACACAGGUGGUCAGGUAGAGAAUACCAAGGCGCUUGAGAGAACUCGGGUGAAGGAACUAGGCAAAAUGGUGCCGUAACUUCGGGAGAAGGCACGCUGAUAUGUAGGUGAAGUGAUUUACUCAUGGAGCUGAAAUCAGUCGAAGAUACCAGCUGGCUGCAACUGUUUAUUAAAAACACAGCACUGUGCAAACACGAAAGUGGACGUAUACGGUGUGACGCCUGCCCGGUGCCGGAAGGUUAAUUGAUGGGGUUAGCGCAAGCGAAGCUCUUGAUCGAAGCCCCGGUAAACGGCGGCCGUAACUAUAACGGUCCUAAGGUAGCGAAAUUCCUUGUCGGGUAAGUUCCGACCUGCACGAAUGGCGUAAUGAUGGCCAGGCUGUCUCCACCCGAGACUCAGUGAAAUUGAACUCGCUGUGAAGAUGCAGUGUACCCGCGGCAAGACGGAAAGACCCCGUGAACCUUUACUAUAGCUUGACACUGAACAUUGAGCCUUGAUGUGUAGGAUAGGUGGGAGGCUUUGAAGUGUGGACGCCAGUCUGCAUGGAGCCGACCUUGAAAUACCACCCUUUAAUGUUUGAUGUUCUAACGUGGACCCGUAAUCCGGGUUGCGGACAGUGUCUGGUGGGUAGUUUGACUGGGGCGGUCUCCUCCUAAAGAGUAACGGAGGAGCACGAAGGUUGGCUAAUCCUGGUCGGACAUCAGGAGGUUAGUGCAAUGGCAUAAGCCAGCUUGACUGCGAGCGUGACGGCGCGAGCAGGUGCGAAAGCAGGUCAUAGUGAUCCGGUGGUUCUGAAUGGAAGGGCCAUCGCUCAACGGAUAAAAGGUACUCCGGGGAUAACAGGCUGAUACCGCCCAAGAGUUCAUAUCGACGGCGGUGUUUGGCACCUCGAUGUCGGCUCAUCACAUCCUGGGGCUGAAGUAGGUCCCAAGGGUAUGGCUGUUCGCCAUUUAAAGUGGUACGCGAGCUGGGUUUAGAACGUCGUGAGACAGUUCGGUCCCUAUCUGCCGUGGGCGCUGGAGAAUUGAGGGGGGCUGCUCCUAGUACGAGAGGACCGGAGUGGACGCAUCACUGGUGUUCGGGUUGUCAUGCCAAUGGCACUGCCCGGUAGCUAAAUGCGGAAGAGAUAAGUGCUGAAAGCAUCUAAGCACGAAACUUGCCCCGAGAUGAGUUCUCCCUGACUCCUUGAGAGUCCUGAAGGAACGUUGAAGACGACGACGUUGAUAGGCCGGGUGUGUAAGCGCAGCGAUGCGUUGAGCUAACCGGUACUAAUGAACCGUGAGGCUUAACC